RNAcentral lists this ribosomal RNA (499 nucleotides) under uncultured bacterium. RNAcentral describes it as "partial 16S ribosomal RNA". It matches the Rfam family "Bacterial small subunit ribosomal RNA", at positions 30 to 523 of the family's 1533-position model. The record is from RNAcentral.
AUUGAACGCUGGCGGAAUGCUUUACACAUGCAAGUCGAACGGCAGCACGGACUUCGGUCUGGUGGCGAGUGGCGAACGGGUGAGUAAUGUAUCGGAACGUGCCCAGUCGUGGGGAUAACGUAGUGAAAAUUACGCUAAUACCGCAUACGAUCUAUGGAUGAAAGCGGGGGAUUGCAAGACCUCGCGCGAUUGGAGCGGCCGAUAUCAGAUUAGGUAGUUGGUGGGGUAAAGGCCCACCAAGCCAACGGUCUGCAGCUGGUCUGAGAGGACGACCAGCCACACUGGAACUGAGACACGGUCCAGACUCCUACGGGAGGCAGCAGUGGGGAAUUUUGGACAAUGGGCGAAAGCCUGAUCCAGCCAUUCCGCGUGCAGGAUGAAGGCCCUCGGGUUGUAAACUGCUUUUGUACAGAACGAAAAGGUUUCUACUAAUACUGGGAGCUCAUGACGGCACUGUAAGAAUAAGCACCGGCUAACUACGUGCCAGCAGCCGCCGUAA